GGAGAGCAGCAAGAGAAAGAAAGAGAGAGGCAAGCGAAAUUCCUGAAUGGAUAGACAGAUGCUACGUCAUCGGAGCUGCAUCCUCCACUCCACAAGAGGCUAGGAGCUGGGGGGAGAGAGGCAGUCCAGCCGCAGGGGCCACCCGAACAGUCUCUCCUCCUCACAGAAGCCUGGAGCUGGGCAUCCAAGAAGAAGCAGCCUCAUUUGUUUUCUGGUGUCAUCGUAGGUGGCCACCUAUGGCUUUUGGGCUUCUCACCUGGGGCGGGUGGGUUCUGCACCACCCUCCCACCCUCCUUCCUCCGUGUGGACGAUAGAGCCACAUCCAGCACCACGGACAGCUCCCGGGCGCACUGGAAGCUGAGGGUUUUGACAGCGGCAGGCCACAUAGGCAAGGAAGCUGGUGCAUGCAGUGUCUCUGGGCAAGGUUAUGCAAACCAAAAAGAAGAAUGUACUUCAUCUGGUUGGGCUGGAUUCCCUCUGAUAAGCCUUCCCAGUUGACUGAAAGAUGAGGCUAGGCUCUAGCAAGUUGAAGUCAAACCAGCUCCUUCAAGAAGCUUUGAGCAGAAUGAAGUGGGGAGGACCCAGCUUCCAGCCCAGGAAGCCCACUGUACCUGGAGCCAUCUGGGAUAAGACUUUGACCCAUGACUCCCAUAUCCACAGCCUGUCCAUCCUAGCCCAUCCCAGUUUAUCCUGUAUCAUUUGAGCUGGGAUUCCCACAUCCUCUGAGUUGGAAGUCCCAUCUCAAGUCUUCAAUAAAGACUCUUGAAUAUUGAAUCACAUUAAAAAAAAAA
RNAcentral lists this long non-coding RNA (791 nucleotides) under Homo sapiens (human). RNAcentral describes it as "MIR9-1 host gene, transcript variant 6 (MIR9-1HG)". The record is from RNAcentral. Lineage: Eukaryota; Metazoa; Chordata; Mammalia; Primates; Hominidae.